Molecule: ribosomal RNA, 430 nt
Filed under: Fusobacteriota bacterium
Lineage: Bacteria; Fusobacteriati; Fusobacteriota
Description: Fusobacteria bacterium partial 16S ribosomal RNA
Rfam family: Bacterial small subunit ribosomal RNA
Source: RNAcentral
UGGGGAAUCUUCCGCAAUGGACGAAAGUCUGACGGAGCAACGCCGCGUGAGUGAAGACGGCCUUCGGGUUGUAAAGCUCUGUGAUCCGGGACGAAAGAGCCUGAGGGGAAUAGCCUAAGGAAGUGACGGUACCGGAAAAGCAAGCCACGGCUAACUACGCGCCAGCAGCCGCGGUAAUAUGUAGGUGGCAAGCGUUGUCCGGAAUUAUUGGGCGUAAAGGGUGCGCAGGCGGCUUUACAAGUUGGAUGGGAAAUAUUGUGGCUCAACCAAAAAAGUGCAACCAAAACUGCAAAGCUUGAGUUAAGGAGAGGUAAGUGGAAUUCCUGGUGUAGCGGUGGAAUGCGUAGAUAUCAGGAGGAAUACCGGUGGCGAAGGCGACUUACUGGACUUAAACUGACGCUCAGGCACGAAAGCGUGGGGAGCAAACAGG